UACGUAGGGUGCAAGCGUUGUCCGGAAUUAUUGGGCGUAAAGAGCUCGUAGGCGGUCUGUUGCGUCGGCUGUGAAAACCCGGGGCUCAACUCCGGGCCUGCAGCCGAUACGGGCAGACUAGAGUUCGGCAGGGGAGACUGGAAUUCCUGGUGUAGCGGUGAAAUGCGCAGAUAUCGGGAGGAACACCGGUGGCGAAGGCGGGUCUCUGGGCCGAUACUGACGCUGAGGAGCGAAAGCGUGGGGAGCAAGCAGG
This 253-nucleotide ribosomal RNA is filed under the name uncultured bacterium. Its description in RNAcentral is "partial 16S ribosomal RNA". It matches the Rfam family "Bacterial small subunit ribosomal RNA", at positions 524 to 776 of the family's 1533-position model. The record is from RNAcentral.